CUACGGGAGGCUCCAGUGAGGAAUAUUGCACAAUGGGGGGAACCCUGAUGCAGCAACGCCGCGUGGAGGAUGACGCACUUCGGUGUGUAAACUCCUUUUAUAUGUCAAGAAAAUGACGGUAGCAUAUGAAUAAGCACCGGCUAACUCCGUGCCAGCAGCCGCGGUAAUACGGAGGGUGCAAGCGUUACUCGGAAUCACUGGGCGUAAAGGACGCGUAGGCGGGUUGGAAAGUCAGGUGUGAAAUCCUACAGCUUAACUGUAGAACUGCACUUGAAACUUCUAAGCUAGAGUAUGGGUGGGGGAGAUGGAAUUAGUGGUGUAGGGGUAAAAUCCGUAGAUAUCACUAGGAAUACCUAAAGCGAAGGCGAUCUCCUGGAACAUUACUGACGCUAAGGCGUGAAAGCGUGGGGAGCAGACAGGAUUAGAUACCCCGGUAGUC
RNAcentral lists this ribosomal RNA (439 nucleotides) under uncultured bacterium. Its description in RNAcentral is "partial 16S ribosomal RNA". It matches the Rfam family "Bacterial small subunit ribosomal RNA", at positions 339 to 795 of the family's 1533-position model. The record is from RNAcentral.